UGGACUGACCCCUUUAUCAUUAUGUAAUGUCCUUCUUUGUCUCUUGUUACUUUUUUUGUUUUGAAGUCUAUUUUGUCUGAUUCAGUAAGUAAUUGUUGAAUAAGUUUAUUCAGCCCCCAAUUGCACUAAAAUUUUGGAGCAAUUGUAUCAUACUCAUGACUCAUACUGGGCUUCCAGUCAAACUAAAUCCUUAAUACUUUUAAAAAUAUAUUCUUUAAGUAAGCUAGUUUUCUUCCAUUCUUUCCUUUUGUCCACUUUGAACUGAUAUUCAGAACAUCACCUGUUUAAUUUUCAUCCAUUGUUCUUGUCUGCACAGCUCUUUUUUAUUUAUUUUUUUAUUCUCUGACCUAGUUUAUUGUAAUGGCAUCUAAUUGAAUUAUCCACAGGUGCAGUGGGUCUACUGGCUGUUUUACUGAUGCUAUCAAUAGAAAUGUUGAAGAGGAGAAAGACCAGUAGAUUGCCAGCUUGGCACUUCAUUGUCUAGCUGGACAUGACCUCUUAUCUAGCAAUCUUUGGAUACGGUCAUUUAAUCAAAUAUAACUAUCUGUUCAUUUCAUUAUAAUUCAUCAUGUAUAUAGACAAUGAAGAACAAUCUGUGCAUUCAUUCAACUCAUUUAUUGAAAACCAAUCAUAUAUAAGGCAGUGUGCUAGGCUUUGUGUACUAAAAACCAGUGAUUAAGAUUUGACUCCUGUCCACUUUGAGCCACAAAGAGCAAAUACGACCAAUGUAGGACAAGGUAGAAGAGAAGCCUAACACAAGAGAUAGGUCAAAGAAAUUUGGAAAGUCAAAUGGAGAGGCACAUUCGUGGCUGGGUGAAACCUUACAGAAUGAGUAGGAUUAUCAUAAGUGGAAAUAAGGGUGUUAUGGUACAGGUUAAGCUGUUGUAACAAAGAGAGUCCAAAAUACGGAGGUGGCAAUAUUUUUACAACAGUGUUUCCAACAGUGGCAGUUCAUUUCUCUCUCAACAGUUAAGGAUAGGCAGGUGGUCCAAGCCUAGUUGCUCCACCCUCAGUAGGCUUCCACUUGCAUGUUCCAGGUGACUGCUGCAGUCCUCAGCAUCCCCAGCCAGAAGGAGUAGAUAGAGACCGAGAUGAACCACUCAGUCACUUUAAGGACGUAAGCAGGAAGUUGCAUACAUUACUUCUAUUCAUAUCACAUUGGUCUGUGCUUAGUCACUUGGCCACAUCCAGUUGAAAGAGAGUUGGAAAAAAUGUAGUCUUCCACUGGAUGGAUGUAGCCCCAUCCCCAGCCAAAACUCUGUCACUUUUGAAGGACAAAACAGAUGCUAGGAAGGCAAUUAACAGUGUGCCACAAAGGAGAAAGAAUUCCUUCCACGUGAGGAGAAAACUGAUUGAUUAACUAUCUCAGCUGAGUGGAAAUUAUUAGGAACAUAGAUUUAGAAAAAAUUUGCAACUCUUAGGAAGGAAUGGGCUGUCUUGAGUUAGCAUACUCCCUCUCUGAAAAUGGUCAAGAAAAAUGAUCAGAAGCACUUACACUCAAAGGGAGGAUGAAUAAAAGGUCAACCUCAAAGACUCAGCUGUGUGAUUGUCAGUAAGGUGGGGCCCAGAAGACUGAUGGGCUAUAAACUGUCAGAAAACUACAACUCUAGACCUAAUGCAAGGAAAUAAAGGUGGAAGCUAUAAGAAUGGACUGGAAGGAACAGAAAAAAGAACAAACAGAGGUUGGCUGUCCACAUGCGCACUUCUCAGAAGGCAGCUUGGGGUAGUGAAGGGCAGAUGGGGGGAAGCACAUUAGCUUGGCCACCUUAGAGAUUUGGAGAGUUGGGCUCCAGGAAGCCCUUUCUGUGCUGUGGUCAGGCAUGGAAAGCCUAGGAAAGAGAACCUGGUUCUUUAUGCAUAAAACAAUGAGCACCCAAAUAGGCUCUGCUCCUGAAAAGGCAUUUUGUUCAUGCAUAAUUAUUUUUUCUCAUUCCGUCCUUAUUUUUUUCUGUUUAAAUUCAGUCAAAGCAUUACCAAAUUUCAAAAUAAUGUGGCCAGUUUUCCCCUGCUCCACUUCUCAGUUCACCAAAGGCAUUUAAUCUGUUUGUUCUGAAAAUCCAACUGUUAACUGGAUUUAUAUGUGCUCUGAUAGGAAAUGUUUUGUGUAGCAAUAAAAAUCAUUCCCUUUGGCAGAUACCUUGUUGUUUUGUGUUCUGUCCAAGAACGAUAUUUCACAUCUGUUUAAUAGUAGCAUUUCCCCCACUAAGCAGAUUCCAUGAGUGGCCAGUUUGAAUGCCAAACUAGGGGAGUCAAAGCUUGUAGCUCCUAAUGGUUGUGCAGGGCCGUGUCUAAAGGGUCAGGGCCAUAGAAGAACGUUCUCAAGCAGCGCCUGCAGACACCUGAGAGAAGAGAGGGAGGCAUAAUUGGAAAAGGCCUCCAGUGUGGGCUCCCCUGUUCCCUGUGUCUAAGGGACUCCUGCUGUUGGCACAAUCAUAGAUGCUUCCUUGUACUGAGCACUUGCCAUGUAAUAGGCAGUGGCCUGAGAACUUACAGGCAUUAUCUCAUUUGCCUCUCGUAGUGGUUCUAUGAGGCAGGUAUCCUCACAGCUCCCAUUUUAUAGAAGAGGGAGCUGAGCUCAGAGAGCUCAGGUGACUUGUGCAAAGUCACACAGGAUUCAUACCUCACUUUGUUGGACUCCAGAGCUCUACAUCAGAUUCCUUAGAUGGAGUAUGUACUCUGAUUCUGCAUAGACUGUGUCUCUGCCUCUUGGGCAUUGCAAGCCAGGACAAUGAGGCCAUGAAGGAUUUCCAGGGGGAGAUCAGAGAGAACAGGAGCAGGCAAAGCCUGGACCUGGGCCCUAAGGGAAUUAGCUUAGCUGAGGGAAUAAGCUAACAUGGGCCAGGUGGGCCAGAGCCACUCCAUGGAAGUUGGGUGGCAUGGGGUGAAAAGUACAGAUUUUAGAGGCAGGUCACCUGAGUUCACCCUCACUGACCCUGGCCAAGAUAAUUAUCCCUUCUAUGCCUCAGUUUUCCCAUCUGUAAAAUGAACAUAAAAAUCUUAUCUGUCUCAGGAUUGUCCUGAGGAUUGAGUGAAUAUAUCUGAGAUAGAGGCUGUUGGUUACCCUACAAUCCCCUCUUUUUCCAUAGUAAUGACUCCCAAUUUUUAGCUGGGCACAUGACCUCCCACAAUAAAAACUACACUAUCCAGCUUUCCUUGCAGCUGUGUAUGGCCAUUAACUAUGGCCACUGAGAUAUAAGCAGCUGCUAAGUGGCUGCUACCUGGAAAGGCUAGGUGGCAUGUACUCUUUGCUCCCUUUUUUUCUUUGUCCCUUCUUCCAGUCUUCUGCCUGGAAUGAAUGUGAAUGUGAUGUCUGGCAUUCUGGCUGCCAUUUUGGACAAGAGGACAAGGACAACACUCUAUGGAUAAUGAAGCGGUGAGCUGGAUGGAGGCCCUGAAGACUUAAUGAGCAAAGCCACUAUACCAGUCCUUGGCUACCUACUUCUGGACAUUUACAUAAAGGAGAAGUAAACAACUCUCUUAUGAUCCUGCUGUACCAUCACUCCUGAGAUGAGCCUUGCCACUGACAUUAGUGAGUCAGCCAUAAAACAGCUAUCAAAAUUGGACCUGCAACUAGAUGAAAAGACCAGGAGGAAGUAUUCCAAGAUGGGUCUACUGGUGGUGGAAUUCAGGUUAUUUUAGUUUCUGGACACCUUGUGUUCUGGCUGCAAACACAUCAUUUAGCUUGCCAAAGACCUUCUUAAAACGAGGCCCCUGAAACUGAACUUCAAGCAAGUUUGGCAGCUGGGAUCAUGCCUGAGGCCCACAGACCCAACGCAGCCUUGCAACUAGGCCAUAUGUUAGUAGCAAGCAAGGGUGGAACCCACAUCUGGCCAGGCGGAGGCACCCACAGCAUCCUGUGGUCUAGCAGCGAGUGGCGAGUGUGCUGGCCUUUCCAAGAAUCCUGCCUGGCAGCCUGCAGCCGUGGCAUCACCUGAAGUGGCUGCUCCUCUCCACUCUCAGGAUGCCAAAGAAUGAUCGGGAAGAAACCCAAGCUUUUCAUUCUACAGAAAGCUCUUCCUACCACUGCCUCAGAUGUCUACCCUCCCAUAGCAAUCUCAACAGAACAAAAAAUAGCAAAGCUUCUUCCUCCAGCAUCCACCUACCAACGGGCUUGUCCUGCUUUGGUCUCCUGCUCACUGUUUUCAUUCCGAUCACCGUUGCUGAGGGCUGGGGUACAAACCCACCUCUGUGGCCAGGAAUCUCGACUGACAACACACCAGGCACUUGGAAUCAGACAGAGCAACUCCUUCAAAUAUCUAAGAGGAUUGAACAGGAAAAACCUAUAUAAUCUGUAUACAUCAUCUAAUUAAAUAAAACUAGUCACACUUUA
Manis javanica (Malayan pangolin) is the source of this 4330-nucleotide non-coding RNA. NCBI's taxonomy places the organism in Eukaryota, Metazoa, Chordata, Mammalia, Pholidota, Manidae. The record is from RefSeq and is a predicted model, not a curated record.